UCCCAAUGAGGAAACAAUCCCAUUGAUAAGAAGAGCCGUCUGACACUCCAAAACAGCAGCGGUUUU
Molecule: small nucleolar RNA, 66 nt
Organism: Telopea speciosissima
Lineage: Eukaryota; Viridiplantae; Streptophyta; Magnoliopsida; Proteales; Proteaceae
Product: small nucleolar RNA U49
Exons: 1
Source: RefSeq, a predicted model, not a curated record